Molecule: ribosomal RNA, 339 nt
Filed under: uncultured bacterium
Lineage: Bacteria
Description: bacterial SSU rRNA
Rfam family: Bacterial small subunit ribosomal RNA
Source: RNAcentral
GCUCAGGACGAACGCUGGCGGCGCGCCUAACACAUGCAAGUCGAACGAGAGAUGAAGAGCUUGCUCUUCAAAUCGAGUGGCGAACGGGUGAGUAACGCGUGAGGAACCUGCCUCAAAGAGGGGGACAACAGUUGGAAACGACUGCUAAUACCGCAUAAGCCCACGGCUCGGCAUCGAGCAGAGGGAAAAGGAGUGAUCCGCUUUGAGAUGGCCUCGCGUCCGAUUAGCUGGUUGGUGAGGUAACGGCCCACCAAGGCGACGAUCGGUAGCCGGACUGAGAGGUUGAACGGCCACAUUGGGACUGAGACACGGCCCAGACUCCUACGGGAGGCAGCAGUA